GAUGAAGAACGCAGCGAAAUGCGAUAAGUAGUGUGAAUUGCAGAAUUCAGUGAAUCAUCGAAUCUUUGAACGCACAUUGCGCCCCUUGGUAUUCCAUGGGGCAUGCCUGUUCGAGCGUCAUUUACACCCUCAAGCUCUGCUUGGUGUUGGGCGUCUGUCCCGCUGCUUUGCGCGGACUCGCCUCAAAGGUAUUGGCAGCGAUCAUGCCAGCUUCUCGCGCAGCACAUUGCGCUUCUUGAAGUUCUGGUGGAUCAGCGUCCAUUAAGCUUACCUUCAUGACUUGACCUCGGAUCAGGUAGGGAUACCCGCUGAACUUAAGCAUGUCAAUAAGCGGAGGA
Molecule: unclassified non-coding RNA, 338 nt
Filed under: soil metagenome
Description: partial contains 5.8S ribosomal RNA, internal transcribed spacer 2, and large subunit ribosomal RNA
Rfam family: 5.8S ribosomal RNA (bases 1-120)
Source: RNAcentral